Molecule: long non-coding RNA, 317 nt
Filed under: Parus major (Great Tit)
Lineage: Eukaryota; Metazoa; Chordata; Aves; Passeriformes; Paridae
Description: lncRNA (ENSPMJG00000005951.1)
Source: RNAcentral
UGCCGCCGUCCACUAAAACAUAGCUGCACUUUCCUUGGGCUGGAGCCUCGGCACACAUUUAUUUACAUAGGGUGAAUUUCCUGUCCCUUCUGGCUGGAGCUGGGGGGGAGCUGUGGCCUGGAAGAGGAUGAAGACAUGGAGACUUUCCUGGUGCUGUUAAAGGCUGGAGAAGAGCUGCAAAAAGAGGGCAGAGAGAGGGUGAAGGACAGAAGCUGGAGCACAGGUUGAAGUCAAACAGCUCAGGACUGGCCCUGGAUGGAUUCCCCACCCUCAAGGGAAGUGCUUCUACUUACUGCAGAACCCAAAUCCCUCAAAAC